RNAcentral lists this ribosomal RNA (450 nucleotides) under uncultured bacterium. RNAcentral's name for it is "bacterial SSU rRNA". It matches the Rfam family "Bacterial small subunit ribosomal RNA", at positions 354 to 796 of the family's 1533-position model. The record is from RNAcentral.
GUAGGGAAUAUUGCGCAAUGGACGCAAGUCUGACGCAGCAACGCCGCGUGGGUGAUGACGUUUUUCGGAAUGUAAAACCCUGUCAGUGGGGAAGAACCGUAUCGGGAGUCACUGCCCGGUGCCUGACGGUACCCACAGAGGAAGUCCCGGCUAACUCCGUGCCAGCAGCCGCGGUAAUACGGGGGGGACAAGCGUUGUUCGGAUUUACUGGGUGUAAAGGGCGCGUAGGCGGGCCGCAAAGUCGGCGGUGUCAUCCCCGGGCUUAACCCGGGGGCUGCCGUCGAUACUGGCGGUCUUGAGUACAGGAGAGGAGAGUGGAAUUCCAGGUGUAGCGGUGAAAUGCGUAGAUAUCUGGAAGAACACCCGUUGCGAAGGCGGCUCUCUGGACUGCUACUGACGCUGAGGCGCGAAGGCUUGGGGAGCAAACAGGAUUAGAUACCCUAGUAGUCC